RNAcentral lists this ribosomal RNA (253 nucleotides) under uncultured bacterium. Its description in RNAcentral is "partial 16S ribosomal RNA". It matches the Rfam family "Bacterial small subunit ribosomal RNA", at positions 524 to 776 of the family's 1533-position model. The record is from RNAcentral.
UACGUAGGUGGCAAGCGUUGUCCGGAAUUAUUGGGCGUAAAGCGCGCGCAGGUGGUUUCUUAAGUCUGAUGCGAAAGCCCACGGCUCAACCGUGGAGGGUCAUUGGAAACUGGGGAACUUGAGUGCAGGAGAGAAGAGUGGAAUUCCACGUGUAGCGGUGAAAUGCGUAGAGAUGUGGAGGAACACCAGUGGCGAAGGCGACUCUUUGGCCUGUAACUGACACUGAGGCGCGAAAGCGUGGGGAGCAAACAGG